CACAAAUCAGGUGCGUUGGGUGCGGAGAGUAAUUGGAUGGGUGACCGUGAUUAGCAGCUUGACUCCUGGGAGUUUCUAGGACUUCAGUCCUGCUCCACAACGAAGCACACAUGUGGUCUCACCUUAGGCAAGUAAGUUUGUUCAAAAUCGCCUUUAUUCACCCAUCAGAAAAAUGGGUAACCGGUGGGAUAAGUCAUGUGACUAUUAACCU
Molecule: long non-coding RNA, 211 nt
Organism: Haliotis rubra (blacklip abalone)
Lineage: Eukaryota; Metazoa; Mollusca; Gastropoda; Lepetellida; Haliotidae
Exons: 3
Source: RefSeq, a predicted model, not a curated record